RNAcentral lists this ribosomal RNA (414 nucleotides) under uncultured bacterium. RNAcentral describes it as "bacterial SSU rRNA". It matches the Rfam family "Bacterial small subunit ribosomal RNA", at positions 355 to 771 of the family's 1533-position model. The record is from RNAcentral.
UGAGGAAUAUUGCGCAAUGGGCGAAAGCCUGACGCAGCGACGCCGCGUGGGGGAUGAAGGUUUUCGGAUUGUAAACCCCUUUUGUGAGGAAAGAUAAGGUAGGUAACUGCCUGGACGGUACCUCAAGAAAAAGCCACGGCUAACUUCGUGCCAGCAGCCGCGGUAAUACGAAGGUGGCGAGCGUUGUCCGGAUUUACUGGGCGUAAAGAGCACGUAGGCGGUUGGGUAAGCCUCUUGGGAAAUCUCCCGGCUUAACCGGGAAAGGUCGAGGGGAACUACUCAGCUAGAGGACGGGAGAGGAGCGCGGAAUUCCCGGUGUAGCGGUGAAAUGCGUAGAUAUCGGGAAGAAGGCCGGUGGCGAAGGCGGCGCUCUGGAACGUACCUGACGCUGAGGUGCGAAAGCGUGGGGAGCAA